RNAcentral lists this ribosomal RNA (251 nucleotides) under uncultured bacterium. Its description in RNAcentral is "partial 16S ribosomal RNA". It matches the Rfam family "Bacterial small subunit ribosomal RNA", at positions 524 to 774 of the family's 1533-position model. The record is from RNAcentral.
UACGUAGGGUGCAAGCGUUGUCCGGAAUUAUUGGGCGUAAAGAGCUCGUAGGCGGUUUGUUGCGUCGGCUGUGAAAUCCCGAGGCUCAACCUCGGGUCUGCAGUCGAUACGAGCAAACUAGAGUGUUGCAGGGGAGACUGGAAUUCCUGGUGUAGCGGUGAAAUGCGCAGAUAUCAGGAGGAACACCGGUGGCGAAGGCGGGUCUCUGGGCAACAACUGACGCUGAGGAGCGAAAGCGUGGGGAGCGAACA